Molecule: long non-coding RNA, 1231 nt
Filed under: Taeniopygia guttata (zebra finch)
Lineage: Eukaryota; Metazoa; Chordata; Aves; Passeriformes; Estrildidae
Description: lncRNA (ENSTGUG00000022917.1)
Source: RNAcentral
UAACCAUGAACUGGACCAAGCCCCUUGAGAAGUUAUUUCCAACUAUAAUUUCUAUGAUUGAUCCAUCCUCUGCAGCCAUGGGCUGUAAAAUCAUGGAGGGCUAUUACCCAGUGUAAAGGAAGAAUUCAGUUCUCAUCUUUCACAGUCAAGUUGAGUCUUCUGCAGGAGUAAUAUGCAUGUCUGUUCUUGCCUUGCAGUAAAUAAAACUCAAGCAUACCUGCUUUUAUGGAUUUUCUUUUCUUUCUUUCUUUCUUUCUUUCUUUUCUUUUUUUUUUUUUUUUUAAUUUUUUUAAUUUACAUUUUGGUCUCUUUAUAAAAGAAGACAAAGGAGGGUAAAACACCGGAGAGGAACAUUAGUGUUGCUAUUUUCAGAAAUGAACAUCUACAGAAAAAACAGAUGGAGUGGAAACCCACACUACACCAGAACCUUCUGCAGACUCCAUGUUCAUGCUCCUGGGCUUAUCUCUUGCUUUUGUGCAAAUUUGGAUGGUGACUAAGCAUACUUCCAGGAAAAGAAGAUGAUGUAUUGAAAUGGGCAUGAAUUUUUAUUUUCCUGGCAAGACUUGGUUAAAAAUACCAUGUCACUCAUCCCACUGGGAAAGAGCAUAUAUCCUUAAUUAGCCAGGAAAUAACAUCAGCAGUGUACCCAAAGCUACUUCUGGGAUAUCUCUUUCAAAAUUCUGACAUAACAUUUACAGGAGGAUUCCUGGAAUAACUCUCUCUUCUCUUCUCUUUCAGUGUUUCUGAAAUGGCCUCUAGAUAAUGUUCUGUUAUUUUUGUAUCUUACAAAAAUACAUCUUGAGAGUUUCUGAACAGACAUGAUAAAACACAUUAAGGGUUUAAUUUUACUGAAGAACGUGACAGUCGUUUCCUGUCAGCAAAGGAUCUUCAGCGCACUGCCAACAAAGCUAUUCCCUCAGCAGGAGAAAAAUGACCAGAAUUUCCAUGCCAAGGAGGAGAGACAGAUGGGCUGUGGGCUCCCUUCCAGUAGAGGAGACAUUGACUUUGGCUUCAAUAUCCUGAUUAGACUACAGUGAGCACUUGCUGAUGCUAGUUUCUCAGAUAUAAGUAAAGUAUUUAAUUUGGUUUUGUUGGUGUUUUUAUGUUUGUUUUAUAUUUUUGUUUGAUUAUUUGUUUUAUUUCUACAGCACUGAGCUCAGGUUUGCAUUGAAUUAUUUAUGAAGUCCACAAGAUCUCAUUCCUGACUCAUAAUAAACACCUCAGCACCUAC